RNAcentral lists this ribosomal RNA (468 nucleotides) under uncultured bacterium. RNAcentral describes it as "partial 16S ribosomal RNA". It matches the Rfam family "Bacterial small subunit ribosomal RNA", at positions 28 to 507 of the family's 1533-position model. The record is from RNAcentral.
GACGAACGCUGGCGGCGUGCUUAACACAUGCAAGUCGAACGGAAACGCGCUUCUUUUUUGGGGUUCUUGUGUGGCGAAAGGGUGAGUAACUCGUGAGUUGCCCGCCCUUGACGGUGGGAUAACUUCAGGAAACUCGGGCUUAUACCGGCUAGGACCCCCGGCUUCAUUGUGGGUGUUGGAAAAUGUCGGCGGUUGGGGAUGUACUUGCGGCUUAUCGGCUUGUUGGUGGGGUAGUGACUUACCAUGGCUUUGAGGGGUUGCUGGCCUGAGGGGGUGACCGGCCCCAUUGGGACUGAGGUAGGGCCCAGAGUCCUAGGGGAGGCAGUGGUGGGGAACAUAGCGCAAGGGGCGGCAGACAGAUGCAGCAACGACGCGAGCGGGAUGACGGCGUUCGGGUUGUCAACGGCUUUCGCCUGUGACGACGCGUGAGUGACGGUAAUGGGUAAAGAAGCACCGGCUAACUACGUG